Molecule: long non-coding RNA, 3393 nt
Organism: Lactuca sativa (garden lettuce)
Lineage: Eukaryota; Viridiplantae; Streptophyta; Magnoliopsida; Asterales; Asteraceae
Source: RefSeq, a predicted model, not a curated record
UCUUAUAAUUAAAUGUAUGACCAAAAUAUUAAAAUAAGAUGGAGGUUGCUUUUUCAACCUCCAUGCUUUGUCUCUCAUGCAUCUAAAUGCUAUCAUUAUUUUAGAGUAUUUUAAUGGUUAUGCCUUACCUUGCAUGGACUAUAUAAGAGAUGCAUGAGGCUUGCAAUUUUUGUUAAGUGAAACAUUCUCUUCUUCUUCCUUUCUUCUCACCAAAACCAUAAGUAGCAAAGUGUUAAUCCUCUUGCUUUUCUUUUGAAGGUCAUUCAAGUCCUUGGUGGUUCAAAGUGCUUCUCGUGACAACCCGAAAUUUCUAUCUUGUACAACCAUUCAACUCAAUCAAAGUCAGACUUGUUUCUACUAUCUUUUAGCAUUGUCUAGGGUCUGUUUGAGCGUUCUAAACCUAGUACAUCCAAGGAAUGAGUUUUAGGAAAUAUCUGUUGAAGUUCAAAACCGUCAAACAAGCCAUAAACUCCACAUCACAUGAGUUUACGGUCGUAAACUCAAGGUGGCCGUAAACUCAUGGCCUUAAGUAUGAUAUUCCUUCAUUUUUCCUCAUUAUUCACCAUUUCAAGUCAAGAAACUCGAAUUCUCUCUCAAGUAUCAUAAGGAUCUUCAUUUUUAUCUUCAAAAAUGUAAGUGUUUCAUCCUUUGUUUAGUUGAUACAUCUCCUUAACUAGUAUCGCCCUUUGAUUUCAUCCAUGAAAUUCAUCUUUUGGGUUAGAUCUUCAAGAACACCAAGAACACACUAGUUCUUUGGGCCGAAAUCAACCCUUUUUGCUUCCAUAUUGUAAGUUUCCUUUUCCUAUACUUGCUAUCUAGUGGAAGCUCUUGAUUUACAUCCUUGAAAACAACUAAUUCCCAUGAACAAUGAGAGUUUACGGCCAGGAUCAUCUCCCUUGGCCGUAAACCCUUGUUAAGGCUACGAGUUUGGCCAUAAACUCUUCUUAAGGCUAGGAUUAGGUCUAGAACACUUCCUGGUUGCUUAAAAGACCUUAAAAACACCCUUUAGCACAAGACUUCAUGAUUUUACAACCGUAAACUCAUAGGGUCGUAAACACCUUGGGCCGUGAACAUCAUGGUCCUGAACACUAAGUGUGGCCGUAAACUCCCUUAUAUGCAAUCAUAUGUGGUUGUAACACUUCAACAUAAGUGUUUCCUAGUCCAUAAGGUGGUUCCCUAUCAUGAUUAGUUGUUCAUACACUAAUUAUAUCCAUAUAUGUAUCAUUAUAUGCUUAAUAGGAUCCAUGUGUGCUCAAGUCUUCACUUGACACUUAGCAUCCUACAAUCUAUCUUACAUUCGCAUCACUCACUACAGGUGAGUUCAUACCCCCCUUAACUUAUAUUUUAAAUGAUUUUAAAUGCUUUUAUGGGGGGUAAUACAAGUAGAACUAUUAUAGUUACUAUAUCAAUCAUAUGUGAUUAAUAACUAUCAAACAAAUGGAUUUUCUUAUACUUCAAACUGUUUUAUCAAUCAAACUCUUCAAAACAUUUCAUAAACUGACAUCAAGUCAUUUAUUACCAUUCAAAUGGUUAAGACUCUUUUAUAUGUUAAACUUUUAUUAAACUCUUUUAAACUUAUAUUUUGUCAAAAUCAUGUCUAUAUAGAUAUAGUUAUAUAAGUAAGGUUGAAAGGACUUAGGACUGAUAACUCACUUUAUUUCAUGUUCCUUGUUUGGUUGUGGACUUAGGGUAUCCGGUUAUUUGUCCGAAUGUCGUUUGAAUCUUAGUUAUAUAUUAUGUAUAUAUGUAUAGAUAUAAAAGUUCUUACAUCAGUUCAGCACCUUUGGGUAGCAAAGGUGUACAAACAUACUUAGACAUUCAAACAACAUUACUAGUAAACUAUAAUAGGUAUAGUUUAGGGAUUUACUACUCACUACUUCUAGUACAAUGAAACAUACAAGAGUCAGCUCAUUCAUGAGUCAAUACAAACUUACUAUUAUGAGAAAAAAGGAAGAACAUACUAUGAUGAGAAACUAAGAGAACAUACACUACACUUGUAACGCCUGUGUUUCCGGGCUUGCCAUUUUUAGCAAUGUAAUAGUCUAGGUUAACCUUUGUAACCCAUUUUGAAAUAAGAGAAGUGUAUUAUUUGAGUAUUAUUUGUUUUGUGCUUAAUUACUUAAUUAUGUGGUUUGAUUAAUUAAGAAUAAAAAUAAGCGUCAAAAUUUAAGUGUAAAAUAAACUUGAUAUCUUUGGUUAAUGUUGUAGUAGUUGAAACGAGGUUUCCGAAUAUAUAUAGAACGCUCAAAUCUGACUUCGUAUGAGGAAGUUAUUAUGAUUUAUUGAAGUUUCGACUUAGCGGUAUGCAGCCCGAAAUACUCGAUUUGAGAUCGAGCGGUUUUUAGUCGAAUCGAUCUAAACGAGAAUCGAAGAUCUCGUUGUUGGUAUCGAAGCGAUGAAAAGUUAGGCGAGAACGGACGUCAAACGAAGAAGUUAUGAAUUUAUAACGAAGUUUUCUGCACCGGCCUAUUAAAAAUAAAUAAUAAAAAUAAAGUUAAAAUUAGCCGACGGAGUCUAAACGAAAGUUGUAGAGCGUAGUCUCACCUUCGCGUGAAUUUAUAACGAAGUUUUCUGCACCGGCCUAUUAAAAAUAAAUAAUAAAAAUAAAGUUAAAAUUAGCCGACGGAGUCUAAACGAAAGUUGUAGAGCGUAGUCUCACCUUCGCGUGUAUAUAAAGAACGUCGAAAACGGAGUUCGUAUGAAGAAGGUAUGAAUUUCCGAAGUUUAUUAAAUAAUUUGUAUUUAAAUUUAAUUAUAAAACCCGGUAUUAUCCGAAGGGGGAGUCACCGGGCAUAUCUGAAGUACGCCCAGCGUACUGCUGUACGCCCCGCGUAUAGCGAAGCAUGACGACCUUCGCACUCGAGUUCUUCGGAUGACGAACGCAAUGACGAUUUCGGACCAGUACGUCCCGCGUACUCCGAGGCUCCAGCCUCCUAUAAAUAGGAUGCGAGGGCAGUCGGCUCAUUUGCUAUUUUUCUCUCUUCUCUCUCCCGUUUUGCAUCGAUUUGCGUGCCAGAAAUACCCCAAAGCCCCGGUAUUAUUCUCGAGCCCCGAAGCAAGUCCCGAGAUCCCGAAGAUCCCGAGAAGUGCGGUUCCCGAGCCGAAGCUCUGCCCACGAGAAGUUCGAUUUUUGUGAAGAUCUUCCAGAUCUGCGGAGAGAUACUACUUCUACAAGCCGUAGUGCUGUCUGAUCAUCUUCUGAUCAAGAAGUGGCGCGAGGGCAUAAUAUGGACGAACUAUCAAGUUGUUUUGUUUACAAGUCUGUAUAUGUAUAUAUUUGUUGAAUGACUUGUAAUGUUAUCGUUUAUGCUUAUUGGUCUGUAUCGGACAAUGACACCCCAAGUUUUGAUUAUAUAAUGAAAAUACAUUUCUUUUAUGAAAUGCUUUGGUAAA